RNAcentral lists this long non-coding RNA (299 nucleotides) under Manihot esculenta (cassava). RNAcentral describes it as "long non-coding RNA (MESC_LNC004946)". The record is from RNAcentral. Lineage: Eukaryota; Viridiplantae; Streptophyta; Magnoliopsida; Malpighiales; Euphorbiaceae.
ACAAUCAAUUAACUUUGCAAUUAAAAUCAAGUGGCCAAUUUGAUCAAAACAACAAAGUAAUCAUGUAAUUAAAGCAUCAAUUGCAUAAAUAUUGAACAAAACCAAAGACAAUAAUUUAUGUUCAGAUCUCACAACCCAUUAAACAACCUUAGUUUCAACCAAUCCUCAACUAGAAUUAAGAAAUUAGCCACUCAUUGGCUAAAUUAAAAACAGAAAAUUAAAAGGAAAAGAAAAGAACCGAAGUUGAAAUCUUGAAUUCUGCUCCCUGCGGAAAUUGCCGAUUUGCCGAAUUGAAGUCU